This is a long non-coding RNA of Cervus elaphus (red deer), 1015 nucleotides long. RefSeq lists it as uncharacterized. The transcript has 4 exons. The record is from RefSeq and is a predicted model, not a curated record. Lineage: Eukaryota; Metazoa; Chordata; Mammalia; Artiodactyla; Cervidae.
AUGCCAGGAGCUGCGUCUCCACACCCGCGUGACUGGCGUGUCUGGUUUCCUGUUCAAAUUCCCGAGGGACAACCUGGACCAACUCAGGAAGGCUGACUGACCCUGGACCGCCUGCUCUCCACCCUCACUGUGAACACCAGGUCACGCAGCCACGUGCCGCCGCACCUGCUUCUCACCGUCUCUCGUCUUUGAUAGCAGGCGUGGCUGGCCAAUGAAGAGGGAUGGCUCCUAAGCCAUGUGAGCGGAAGGCUGUUCAUAGCUCUGCUUUGUGGAAGGAGCUCUCUGACCUUCCAAAGAGGCUGGAGAACCUCCCAGGGAAAAGAAGUCUGAGAAGCUCCAGCCAGAGGAACAGUAAGGUGUCCAGUCCUUACGAAGCAGACGAAGGACAGCAGUCUCAGAGGGAAACAUCUAAGAUUUCUGGAUCCUUCUUUAGAUGCAGACUCACAGGAAUUCAUACAGCAAGAGGACAGGCUGCUUCUGCAGAAGGGCCUGCAACUGGGCAGACAACCAGGACCUACCCCUCCACCCUGGCCCGCACACAGGGACCUCGUCUCCUAGAAGACUGUCUGCUGGGAACCUUGUGUAAAGUACUGUUAAGAACUUACUUAGUACUCUGCUAUUCAUAGAGUGUGUUCAGAAUGCUGCUUUUAAUCCUCAUAAUUUCCUGAACUAAGCAUUAUUCCCAUUUUAAAAACAGAUGUGCCUGGGUCAGGAUCACAUACACAUGUCGUGUUUUAACUCCCAAGUCCAGUGUUCUUUGACUCACAUUAUGUAUACAGUUGACCCUUGAACAUGGGUUUGAACUGCAUGGGUCCACAUAUAUGUGGACUUCUUUCAGUAUAAAUACAGUACCUGUAUUUAAAGUACGGAGAGAAGCCUGCGUUUGACCAGAGGUCACAAACUGUGGAAUAAGAAACUAAAGGUUUGAGCCUUGAUUCUUUCCCAGCUGUUCCGGGUUCCUACCCACACACCUUUCUCUUUUAAUGCUGAAGAUGAAUGAAAAAGGUGACACAUU